AACGAACGCUGGCGGCAUGCCUAACGCAUGCAAGUCGAACGAGACCUUCGGGUCUUGUGGCGCACGGGUGCGUAACGCGUGGGAACCUGCCCUUAGGUUCGGAAUAACUCCCCGAAAGGGGUGCUAAUACCGGAUAAUGUCUUCGGACCAAAGAUUUAUCGCCUUUGGAUGGGCCCGCGUUGGAUUAGCUAGUUGGUAGGGUAAAAGCCUACCAAGGCGACGAUCCAUAGCUGGUCUGAGAGGAUGAUCAGCCACACUGGGACUGAGACACGGCCCAGACUCCUACGGGAGGCGGCAGUGGGGAAUAUUGGACAAUGGGCGGAAGGCUGAACCAGCAAUGCCGCGUGAGUGAUGAAGGCCUUAGGGUUGUAAAGCUCUUUUACCCGGGAUGAUAAUGACAGUACCGGGAGAAUAAGCUCCGGCUAACUCCGUG
RNAcentral lists this ribosomal RNA (433 nucleotides) under uncultured bacterium. RNAcentral's name for it is "partial 16S ribosomal RNA". It matches the Rfam family "Bacterial small subunit ribosomal RNA", at positions 29 to 507 of the family's 1533-position model. The record is from RNAcentral.